GCCUGUUGCUGCUGCUGCUCUUCUGCUCAUGCCGCUACUUGCUGCUCUUGCUCUCCUGCUACUCUGCGCUGCUGCUUGUCUAGCCGCUGCUCACGGCCGCUCCUGGCCACUCUGCUGCGGUCGCUCACUACUACGGCUGGCCAGGUACAUGGCCGUGCGUGGUGUGUGUGUGCUGUGUGUGUUCGUGUUUGCCAUGGCCGAGCGCCCCGUGCAAGUGUGGCGUGUGAUGUGUGUGGGUGAGUGUGUGCGUUGUGUGUGUUCUGUAGGUGUGUGUGAUGUGUGUACAGCGUGUGUGUGUGGCCGUGUGUGGGGCUGCCCCAAAUUAGUUUAGGUCUAAUUUAAUUAGAUAAAUUAAUUUUAGGAUUUUUUUUGCUGUUUAGCUAGUACUAGUAUUUAAUUAGUAGUAAUAGAUGACAUGCAGGUCCUCAUUUAGAUAAGUUAGGUCUAUUUAUUUGUUUACGAAAAUACUAUAUGACAUGUGGGCCACACAUCCCCUUUUAACUAGUCAAAUUGACUUGGUCAAUUCGCAUUAAACUAAAUAUAAUAAAUCCAGAAAUUUCAGAAAAUACUUAAAACUUUGGAAAAUCAUAGAAAAUUAAUCGUAACUACGAUGAAAAAACUUUGUACAUGAAAGUUGCUCAGAACAACGAGACGAUUCCGGAUACGUAGCCCGUUCAUCCACCGCACACCCCUAGCAUAGCAAACACGCAACUUUUCCCCUCUGAUUCAUCUGUCCGAAAACGCGAAACAUCGAGAAUACUUUCCCGGAUGUUUCCCCGCUUCACCGGUACCACCUCGUACUGCGUUAUGGCACCCUAGCACCGAUACUUGUCAUGUCAUGCAUCACUAGGCAUCUGUUUGCUUAAUAUUUAUUGUUUCUUCCCCCUCUUCUCUCGCUAGACAUCGAGACCGACGCCGCUGCUACCCAGUUCGACUACGGCGUUGACGACCCCUCUCUCUUGCCAGAGCAACCACGCAAGCCCCCCCUUGAUCACCAGAUAUCGCCUCCUCUUCUCUAUACUGCUUGCAUUAGAGUAGUGUAGCAUGUUACUGCUUCCCGUUAAUCCUAUUCUGAUGCAUAGCCUGUCAUUGUUGCUACAACUGUUGAUACCUUACCUGCAAUCCUAAUGCUUAGUAUAUGAUGCUAGUUUGCCAUCAGUGGCCCUGCAUUCUUGUCCGUCUGCCAUGCUAUACUAUCGGGUCGUGACCACUCGGGAGGUGGUCACGGGUAUAUACUUAUAUACAUAAUAUAUGAUAUUUGUGGUGACUAAAGACGGGUCGGCUCAUAGGGGUACCGCGAGUGAUUCACGGAUUGCAUCCGAAAGGACGUUUGUCCCGAUGACCCUCUAGGUGGAUCUUUGUGGCGGAGCGACAUGGUAGGUUGAGACCACCUAGGAGAGAGUUGGGCCUGGCCCUGGUCGGUGUUCGCGGUUAUUUCAAGAUAACACGUUUACUGAGAUCUUGGUAUUUGAUCUGAGUCUGGCCACUGGCCUAUACGCAGUAACCAUCUACGCGGGGACAGUUAUGGGCACUCGACGUCGUGGUAUCAGCCGAAGCCUUCGUGACGUCAGCGACUGAGCGGCGCGCGCCGGAUUGGACUGGAACGCCUGCUAGGCUAGGUCUGCUUCUGGCCGCCCUCGCAACAUGCAGGUGUGCAAUGGGCGAUGGGCCCAGACCCCUGCGCCAUAGGAUUUAGACCGGCGUGCUAACCUCUCUGUUGUGCCUAGGUAGGGCUGCGACGUGUUGAUCUUCCAAGGCCGGACAUGACCCAGGAAAGUGUGUCCGGCCAAAUGGGAUCGAGCGUGUUGGGUUAUGUGGUGCACCCCUGCAGGGAAGUUAAUCUAUUCGAAUAGCCGUGAUUUUCGGUAACAGGACGACUUGGAGUUUUACCUUGACCUUAUGACAACUAGAACCGGAUACUUAAUAAAACACAGCCUUCCAAAUGCCAGAUACAACCGGUGAUCGCUCUCUCACAGGGCGACGAGGGGAGGCUCAUCGGUUAGGAUUAUGCUACACGAUGCUACUUGGUGAACUUAGCAUCUACUCUCUUCUCUUGCUGCAAGAUGGAGGUUACCAGAAGCGUAGUCUUCGAUAAGACUAGCUAUCCUCCUUUUAUUUCGGCAUUCUGCAGUUCAGUCCACCUAUGAUACCCUUAUUCCAUUUGAUACCAAUGCAUACAUAUGUAGUGUAGCUCCUUGCUUGCGAGUACUUUGGAUGAGUACUCACGGUUGCUUUGCUCCCUCUUUUCCCCCUUUCUAUACUCGAUUGCUGCGACCAGACGUUGGAGCCCAGGAGCCAGACGCCACUAUCGAUGAUGACUACUACUACUCGGGAGGUGCCUACUACUACGUGCAGCCCGCUGACGGCGACCAGGAGUAGUUUAGGAGGAUCCCAGGCAGGAGGCCUGCGCCUCUAUCGAUCUUUAUCCCAGUUUGUGCUAGCCUUCUUAAGGCAAACUUGUAUAACUUAUGUCUGUACUCAGAUAUUGUUGCUUCCACUGACUCGUCUAUGAUCGAGCUCUUGUAUUCGAGCCCUCGAGGCCCCUGGCUUGUAAUAUAAUGCUUGUAUGACUUAUUUUAUUUGUAGAGUUGUGUUGUGAUAUCUUUCCGUGAGUCCAUGAUCUUGAUCAUACACGUUUGCGUGUAUGAUUAGUGUACGGUCGAAUCGGGGGCGUCACAAGUUGGUAUCAGAGCUGACUGCCUGUAGGAAUCCCCCUUCCACACUCCUUGGCCGAAGUCGUGUCUAGACUUUGCAAAACUUUUACUAACAUGGCUGUGCGGCCCAUGAGCCCACGUCGCCAUUGGGUGGUAUUAGGAUCUUUUACUCCUCGUCUAUACUCUGGGAUUCUGAUCUCUCUUCUAUUCGGAUUAAAUGAUUUUGCUAACUCUAACUCUAGGUUCUCGUAACUACUCCCACCCGGAGAGCCCCUUACUCCAGAUGAUUGCUUAGUGCCCCAGAAGAUUUCGAAGAUACUCUUCGAUGUUCUCUCUGGGCCUUGUGCCCGUCGCUUUUGCAAUUCACUUCGAUCGAUAGACCCCUAUGGAUGACCACGUACAUUUGUCAUUCUUACAAUCAUCCCCCGAUGAUCUUAUUAUUACCAGAUACCCUGAAAUACUCUCUAUUGUUUCGAGAAAACUUGGUGCCUACCGACUUGCAGUUCUUUGUCACGUGAAUACCCUUACGGAUAAAUCCUCACACUUAUCGAGUAUCCGCUCAUUCCCAGUUGUUCAUAUGUUUCACAAAAGUCUUCGAAAAUACCAUUCAAUCCUCUGGAAAUCCUAAGCAGCCUAUUGCUCUUGAAAUUCUUGUUUGCUUGCAUUAUGGCUAAUCCCAUAAGUCUCGUAAUCUUAUUGGAAUCCCUUGCCACUAUCAUUUUGAGCCCAUUGAUUCAAUGAGUGCGAAUGCUCGCAAUCCUCAACCAGAUCCUAGGAUUCAUCCUUCCGGCUCAGACGCCAUUUUAAACAUGAGUUGGUUCUCGAGCAAUCAAAUUGCCGUCGGUUGUACCCCUAAGUCUGUUCAACUUAUCCAUUCUUAAUCAGAGCGUCUCCUUCUGAUCCUUCGUUUUGGAAAUCAUAAUUCCUUUGUUAUCUAAGCAUCAAAUUAUUCGGGUGUUUUAUAAUCAGAUGCAUUUGCAUUGUUUCUUUAUCUGAUUGUGUGUCGAUGCUCACAUCAACUUUGAUAUGGACCGUCAGAUCCUUUGUUGGAUUAUUAUUUGACAGUGUCCUUCAUUUUUUACCGCCUUGUGAAUCCUCCCUGAUACAUAAUGCCUUUGGCAAUUGGUAUCAUCUCCUUUGUCAACCAUGCUCUACUUCCAAGCUUGAGUUAUUUGCUCGAAGUUUGUGGUAUAUGUUCCUAAGAUGCCCCUAUGGGUUGAACCUAUACCUUCUCUAAAACUAUGUGAACCCAAAAGAUUUCACGGGUCAUACUUAUCUGGUAUUGCACUAGGUAAAAACUUUCAACAAGUAAUGUCAUUUUUGAAAUACGAGAGGUGAAUGAAACGUUAUGCGUUGAACAAGUGGGAGUCGACCUUGAACCCUGUGUUCAUGCCCAUGGACACGAUGUAGAUCUUAUCAUUAAAUGUAACGCCCCGGAUAUAACUUUCCCAAUUUGUACUCCAACUCUUGCCGUUUCCGGCGUUAAGUUAUAUUUAUUUCUCGGGUUCGGGUCUUUGUCUCCGUGUGUUGUUUUCAUUGUCAUGCAUCUCAUAUCAUGUCAUCAUGUGUAUUGCAUUUGCAUACGUGUUCAUCUCAUGCAUUCGAGCUUUUUCCCCGUUGUUCGUUUUGCGUUCCGGUGCUUCGUUCUCCUCCGGUGGUCAUUUCUAGCUUUCUUUCGUGUGUGGAGAUUAAACAUUUCCGGAUUGGGCCGAGACUUGCCAUCCGGCCUUGGUUUACUACCGGUAGACCGCCUGUCAAGUUUCGUAUCAUUUGGACUUUGUUUGAUACUCCAACGGUUAACCGAGGGAGCGAAAAGGCCUCGUGUGUGCUGCAGCCCAACACCCCUCCAAUUUGGCCCAAAACCCACCAAACUCUGCUCCAUCACCUAGAGCAUUCGAUCACGAUCGCGUGGCCGAAAACCGAACCUUAUUUGGACUCUCCUAGCUCCACUUAUGCCUAUAAAUAGCUCCCCGUUUUUCGGAUCUCUCUCCCUCUCCGAAACCCUAAAAAAACAGAUCUCCAGCCGCCGGACAUGUCCGGAGCUUAGCCGGACACGUCCGCCGUGCCCCCUCGCCCACUCCGCUGCCGCCGCCGGCCCGGGAGGCCCAGGAGGGGCCCCCGCGAGCCCGUCUCUCCGCCGCGCGCCCCCGCGCCUUCGUCCCCAACACCGAGCGCCAGCCGCCNNNNNNNNNNNNNNNNNNNNNNNNNNNNNNNNNNNNNNNNNNNNNNNNNNNNNNNNNNNNNNNNNNNNNNNNNNNNNNNNNNNNNNNNNNNNNNNNNNNNNNNNNNNNNNNNNNNNNNNNNNNNNNNNNNNNNNNNNNNNNNNNNNNNNNNNNNNNNNNNNNNNNNNNNNNNNNNNNNNNNNNNNNNNNNNNNNNNNNNNNNNNNNNNNNNNNNNNNNNNNNNNNNNNNNNNNNNNNNNNNNNNNNNNNNNNNNNNNNNNNNNNNNNNNNNNNNNNNNNNNNNNNNNNNNNNNNNNNNNNNNNNNNNNNNNNNNNNNNNNNNNNNNNNNNNNNNNNNNNNNNNNNNNNNNNNNNNNNNNNNNNNNNNNNNNNNNNNNNNNNNNNNNNNNNNNNNNNNNNNNNNNNNNNNNNNNNNNNNNNNNNNNNNNNNNNNNNNNNNNNNNNNNNNNNNNNNNNNNNNNNNNNNNNNNNNNNNNNNNNNNNNNNNNNNNNNNNNNNNNNNNNNNNNNNNNNNNNNNNNNNNGCCACCGGCGACCUGCCUCGGAUCCGAGCUCCGGCGAACUCCUCCCGGCCAUCCUCGUCGCGCGAGCCCGAUGAACAGUGUCGGAUGAACAGUGCAUGAACAGUGAUUCCAGAUCUAGAUCCGGUUGACUUCUCUCCCCCGAACCCUAAUUUUUUAUGCCUACUUUGACCUGCCGUAACUUUGCAUCCAUAGCUCCGAUUUGGGCAUAUAGUAUAUCAAAAUGUUCGUCUCAACGAGUACAUCAUUUCAUUCCAUUGCAUCAUUUUCAUUUGAGUUCAUCUUGAUGCCCGAAAUGCUGUUAGAAGGAGGCUUCGUGAGUUAAUUGUCAGAUCUGCUAGUUCAUCUUAGACUUUUGUCAUUUUUGCCAUGAUUGUUGUGUGCAUGCUAUGCCUGUGAGUCCUUCAUAUGUUUUGUUAACGAUUUUGUCUUCUUUCCAGAGGUGCAACCCAUGCAUUUUUAGGAUGUGUGUGGUGACUUGUGCAAGCUUGCAAAGUGAGGCACCCGGUAAAUCUGUUUUCAGGGACUUAGUAGUUUUCACUAAGUCUGGGAUUAUUUAGUUCGUGAUGCCAUAUGUUCAGCUUGUUUCCUAGUGAUCCGUGCCUCUUUUGAGGAUGAUCAGUAAAGGAGUUUUGUUAAUCAUGUUAUGCUCUAUCCAUCCAUGUCUUUAUUUGCAAUUUUGGAGCACCCUAGCUUGAGUCAAUCGAGCUCUAUUUUUGGUUCGUUGUGAAUCUGGGCAGAUCGUCAACUUGUGUGCGAUUUUGCCGAUGUUAUUGUAGUUGAUUCGUGCAUGCUAUGCUAUUGUUCUUGCCACGUCUAGCUAGAAUUUUGUGCCUUCUUAAUUGAUGUAUGCUUGCCUUGCCAUGACUUGCACCGUAGUGAGUGCAUCGAGCUCGUUUACAUGCCUUCGUGAGCUAUAUUUCAGCAUGUCUCAGUUUUCACUAAGUCUAAAAACUGAUUGUGUUUUAGCUAUGUUCGUGGGCUUGUUAGUAUAUUUUAUGAACCCUUUUGGCCCCAGGUCACUUUGGGUCUUUUGUUAAGCUUGUUGAGUAGCUCCAUGCCAUGUUCUUACUUGUCUUAAUAAGGUCAUGUAUCAUGUUGUUUUGCUGCUCCGAAGAGGGCUUCACGAUCUGAAAUUUCAGACAAGUGUUAAUUUCACUAAGUCUGGAAUCUGUUUUGCAUUUGCGUUUUUGCCAUACUUGUUUGAACCUCAUAAUGGAUGAAUUGGCCGUGGCUCAGUGCUAGUCUUUUGAUAAGCAUCUUAUGUGCAUCCCUGCCAUGUAUUUUGUUGUCAUGUUUGGGUGCUGUAGCAUGUUCAUUUCGUUGCAUUUAGAUGCCUACUUGCUGUAAAUUACAGAUCGGUGUCAUUUUUAAAACGCUUGCCAUUUCCACACCGUAACUCCGAUUCCAAUGAUCUUUAUAUCGUUUUCAAGCGGUUUCAUCUCUUCUUUCCAGUGGCACCCUUGGAAUUCCAUGUUGAGGCCAGGUUCAUACAUUUCCUGUCAUAUCUUGCAUUUUGCAUCCCGCAUCGCAUCCCGCAUAGCAUAUCAUCAUUGCAUCAUAUCGCUUGAUCCUUACACGUGGUUGAUUGUGUCCUUGUUGCUUGUUUGUCUUGUUUGGGUAGAGCCGGGAGACGAGUUCGCUACCGAGGAGCCCGUUGAGUUUGCUUGUGAGGAUCCAGUCAACUCUGACAACUGUGCAGGCAAGAUGAUCAUACCCUCGAAAUCACUACUAUCUUUGCUAUGCUAGUUUGCUCGCUCUUUUGCUAUGCCAUUGCUACGAUGCCUACCACUUGCUUGCAAGCCUCCCAAGUUGCCAUGUCAAACCUCUCACCCACCAUUGUCCUAGCAAACCGUUGAUUGGCUAUGUUACCGCUUUGCUCAGCCCCUCUUAUAGCGUUGCUAGUUGCAGGUGAAGAUCGGAGGUCGUUCCUUGUUGGAACAUCUUUUAUUUACUUGUUGGGAUAUCAUUAUAUUAUCUUUCUAUCUUAAUGCAUCUAUAUACUUGGUAAAGGGUGGAAGGCUCGGCCUCUCGCCUAGUGUUUUGUUCCACUCUUGCCGCCCUAGUUUCCGUCAUAUCGGUGUUAUGUUCCCGGAUUUUGCGUUCCUCACGCGGUUGGGUUAUAAUGAGAACCCCUUGAUAGUUCGCCUUGAUUAAAGCUUUUCUAGCAAUGCCCAACCUUGGUCUUACCAUUUGCCACCUAGCCUCUUUUCCCUCGGGUUUCCGGAGCCCGCGGGUCAUCUUAUUUAAACCCCCCCCCCCGGGCCAGUGCUCCUCUGAGUGUUGGUCCGAACUAGAGUCCUGUGCAGCGCCCCCUCGGGGAAACUCGAGGUUUGGUUUUAGCUAUAUGGAGCGCUCAUCUGAGUGUGCCCUGAGAAAGAGAUAUGUGCAGCUCCUAUCGGGAUUUGUCGGCACAUUCGGGCGGUGUUGCUGGUCUUGUUUUAACCUGUCGAAGUGUCUUGAAUUACUGAGAUACCGAGUCUGAUCGGAACGUCUUGGGAGGAGGUCUAUUCCUUCGUUGACCGUGAGAGCUUGUCAUGGGCUAAGUUGGGACUCCCCUGCAGGGAUUGAACUUUCGAAAGCCGUGCCCGCGGUUAUGGAAAGAUGGGAAUUUGUUAAUGUCCGGUUGUAGAUAACUUGAACCUUAAUUAAUUAAAAUGAAUCAACUGAGUGUGUUACCGUGAUGGCCUCUUCUCGGCGGAGUCCGGGAAGUGGACACGGUGUUGGAGUAAUGUUUGCGCAGGUUGUUCCUCUAGUUUCUCGCUCGCGCUUUGCCUCCUCUUCUCGCUCUCUUUUGCGAAUAAGUUAGCCACCACAUAUGCUAGUCGCUUGCUGCAGCUCCACUUAUAUUCGCCUUACCCCUUUCUAUAAGCUUAAAUAGUCUUGAUCGCGAGGGUGCGGGAUUGCUGAGUCCUUGUGGCUCACAGAUACUAUAACUCCAGAUGCAGGUCCAGGUGUUUCCGCUCCAGGUGACGAGUACGAGCUCAAGUGGGAGUUCGACGAAGACUCUCAAUGAUACUACGUUUCCUUUCCCGAUGAUCAGUAGUGGUGCCCAGUUGGGGGUGAUUGGGACCGUCGUCGCAUGCUGGUUUUUUUUUCUAUUUUGGCGCCGUAGUCGGGCCAUGAGUGUUUUGGAUGAUGUAAUGUUAUUUAUGUACUUUGAUGUGACGUGGCGAGUGUAAGCCAACUAUGUUCUUCCCUUUAUUAUUCAUAUUACAUGGGAUGUUGUGAAGAUUGCCUAACUUACGACAUAUGCCUUCAAUGUGAUUAUGUCUCUAAGUCGUGCCUCGACACGUGGGAGCUAUAGUCGCAUCGAGGGUGUUACAUUAAAGCUUCUGUUAAAUUAAUUAUUCCAUCAGUAUAAAUUCAUCUUAUAUCUGGGAUCUGACCUUUUGCAAUCAUGGUUCCGACCAUGUUCUCCUUUAAAUACCAUUUCCUAUGCAAGUUUAAGCACUUGUCUUCUGCAUAGCAAUACCCCAGCACAACCCUACUUUGAUCUGUUGUCGAGUAUUACCCCCUGGUAUCUCGAGAUUAUUACGGAACUACAUAACCUCUUAUGAGUUCUUCAUCAAGUACUACAUCCUCACUGAUCCCAAUUUUCACGGGCUCCGAGAUUUUAAACAUUCAAGGACACCGAUAACUGAAACGAGCCCGCAUUACAGUUCAACAACCCUAAGUAAUCUCCUUUACUUAUGAGUUUGUACCCGAUCAUGUCAUUCCUAGCCUUCUUGGCUAUAUCUUUAUCGUGAUGAUUUUAACUGUGCUACUUGGUCCUCCUUUCCGGAGCACAAUUUUCGAUGAUGAGCUAACCUUACGUCGAUCUCCCUCCUCAUAUAAUUUCUCUAUAAAAACAAUAAGCUUGAUUUUGAGUUUGUAUCGUAUCCAUGGCUCCAAUAAUCUUUUGUUGCAUCAGUCCUUUUGCUUGAUGCAGUCGCUAUUCAAUUGCUUCUUCGUGGAUCCUCUCAACAACAAAUUGUCGUGAUCAUCAUCAACAUUUUGACUCCUUCCAGGACAUCAAUUGAAUUCAUGAUGAGAAAUACCAUCCUUGCGCUCGAUGAUUUCUGUUGUCAUCGACAACUUUAUUGCCUUCCCUGUUUGUGUUCUGUGUUAUACCUUGAGUUCCUUUCUAUCCAUCAUUUGUUCUUCUUUACCUUGGAGUAUUACCAUAUUUUAUGUCAAGAAUGUCAUGAGGAUUACUCCACCUCUUAUGAAUUCUUGGUAUAGUGAUACUUCUCACCAUCACCAUUCUUUCUUAGUCCUCGUGUUGAUUCAAUCGGUGUUGUUUGGAUUCUGCCGUGCUAGCAACCAUAGUGCUUUGAAGUUAAUGGUCGGCCAUUCAUUCUUAGACCAUUGAUUAUUGAAUCACCAUUCUGACAUUGGUCAUGCAACCCAACCCAUAUUUCGGGUGCAACUUUCAACCAAUGUUUAAGUGUGUGUGUUUUUCCUCGAGCAUACAUCAUUAUACCAUUUUGAUUUGACAAAUGUUAUCUCCUUGUUCACAUAAUUGUGGAAAUCAUCUUUUGUUAAUCUCGAUGAAUUGUUGCUGAGUCCAUCAGCCACCUCCUCAACCUCUCCUUGAUUUAAUGAUGUACUCUUGUUUCGGGACUCGCUUCCAUAGUUCAUUUCUCGAGAAUCUUACAAUGUCACCUCAUCAAUUGUGUUGCACCUCUUCUACUCAGGCAUCCCGAGUCUGAGGUAUCUUGACACCAAUCAGAUCUGAAUCUCGGUCAGAUAUGAUGGUUCGAACAUAUGUCCAAUAGUUAUAACAUUGAUCUUAUAUGCCCGGUAAGGUGAUGUCAUGCCUAGCACACCUAGCCGGAGGACCGAUUGCUUUAGUAUCUUUUAUAGCAAGGUUAACCAUUCUUCCAUAAGGAAAUUGUAAGACUUAGUCUAUAAGUUGUUUCUGAUGGAUCCUUUGUGAAUACAAAGUCUGACCUUUGCUUGCAAUCCAUGUCAUGGCUAUCCCGAAGCAUGCCGUGGUACUUAGAACAUCCUUAAGAACAAUUGAAGCACAAUGCUAAAUUUUCAUAUCAAUUAUUCAAACACCGCUGUAUGGGUAACGUCAUGAAAUUCCUCUCCCCUUACCUAAAUGGUUUUCUACCUUCUAUCCGGUCUUGGAUAUCAUGCUCUGCUUGUCCUUGGGAAGGAUAUCCCCCUAGAAUAUGUGUUUUAACACAUUUUCCUUUUCAUUGUUCUGUUUAAUCUGAUAAUCAUAUUUUCCUUUCCAUUGGUUGGUUUAACCUUUUCUUGUGAUCUAUAUGAUCUAGGAAGUAAUAUUCUCCUGCUUAUGUAAACACCUCGUUGUACAAUUCUGUCAGCAAGACCCUGUUACUAUUGUUGAUGACAUUCCGGUAGCCACCGAUGGACGAGAACUUUGCCUAUUAGUCCGCCUCGUUCAACGAGCAGGAAAAUGAUUUUCUUUGUCCCUCGCCCUUGGUACCAAUGUUGUUGCCGACAUAAAUGACAGGCUAUCCUCUGACAUGCCUUGCUUACAUGAUCACGCAAGACAUCUCCGCCCUUCCAACUUUUAACCCACAUGGUGGGCCCAUAACCCACAGUUCCACAGUAUCGAAACUUAACUCUCAUGUACAACCCUAUUUCUAAAGUUAUUCCUCAUGCUUGGCUUCGUAUGAAAAUCCUGAGCCACCUUCCGAGAGACGAUCUAUUCUGGUAUCAGACGCAAUACUUAUUCUCGUUGCUCUAAACCACUUUUCACACUCCGUUCCACACAUUGGAUGAUUGUCUAUCCGCUUGAAACUUCUUAUGGUACCUUCUUACUUGGCUCUCGAUGUGUGUCGUUUGUUCAACUCGAGAGAUGCUCAUGUGUUCAUUCCCUGGGAUAACCCCAGAUGAUUUCCUCUUAUACCAUUCUAUCGUUGUAGGGCAGCCCCUUACCUAUUCGUAAGUACAAUAGAAUUUCCAAAGAAAGGAUGUUGGCUUCAUCAUGAUGACUUGAAGCAAAGAAAUGAAGACAACGAUGUAAGGGAUCGACCUCUUCGAGAGGCGGAACCAAGACCAAGAAGAUCCGUUAGAAUUUCGUAACCGAACCUUUCCCCCUUGUUCCACCUCUUAAAUCUCGGGACGAGAUUUCUUGUAGUGGAGGAGAAUUGUGACGCCCGAAUAAUUAAGCUAUAGUAACUCUCUAUUAAUGAUGCCACGUCACCAUUAUUUAUGUUGUUAAACUCGCGAUGAUUCAAACCCACUCGAUGUUCAAAUUUAAAAUGGAGUCAACUGGUAAAAGUUUUCAAAUGUUGAAGCUAAAAUGUUCAAGGUGUGGCAAAUAAUCCCGGAAUAUUUUUCAUGAUGAAACCCAUUUUUUAACUAUCUAAUUGCCCUAAACAAUUAAAACAGGGCCAAGAUAGUAAUUUAAAUGCUUUUCUAAAUUAUUUAAAUUUCCAAAACUUUCCAAUUGCCUCUCAAACUUUUUGUGGGAGUGCUAUAUAUUGCAAUGGUAAUAACGUGACCAGUUGAAUAUUUUACAAAAGCCAAAUAGUGGCUAAAAAAUACAAAACAGAAGAAAAGGUGAUAACAGAAAUGAAAACGAAUAAAAUCUAAAAGCUCCUGUGCACUUAAGCCCAUUAGGAAUAGUAGCAACCCAGCCCACCUCUAGUCUGCUUCAUCCUCACGUACAGUAGGCAGUGUGCGUGGCGCACAUCAACGCCACCAUGGCCGCCGUUGCCGCCGUGUCGGCCAUCCCAUGGUUCACCAUGGUAGAUAAGAACCCCCACGCUGCGGACAAACCCUAGCCCUCAGUCAUUUCCCCCCUUGCGUUGUUUCUUACUCCCUUGCAUAAAACCGAAACUUCAUCGUCGGGCCCUCGUCGAUUCCGCGGCCACUGUCCUCCCCGGCGCGCAGGAGGAUAUCUAGGAGCUUCACCACCAUCGUCGCUUCUGCCGCGCGGCGUCUGCUCGCCUGCUCCCGUGCGCUGCAUCAUCUUGUUGCUGCUGCUGCUCUUCUGCUCAUGCCGCUACUUGCUGCUCUUGCUCUCCUGCUACUCUGCGCUGCUGCUUGUCUAGCCGCUGCUCACGGCCGCUCCUAGCUGCUAUGCUGCGGUCGCUCACUACUACGGCUGGCCAGGUACAUGGCCGUGCGUGGUGUGUGCGUGCUGUGUGUGUUCAUGUUUGCCAUGGCCGAGCGCCCGUGCAAGUGUGGCGUGUGAUGUGUGUGCGUGAGUGUGUGUUCUGUAGGUGUGUGUGAUGUGUGUACAGCGUGUGUGUGGCCGUGUGUGGGGCUGCCCCAAACUAGUUUAGGUCUAAUUUAAUUAGAUAGAUUAGUUUUAGGAUUAUUUUUGCUGUUUAGCUAGUACUAGUAUUUAAUUAGUAGUAGUAGAUGACAUGUG
RNAcentral lists this long non-coding RNA (12696 nucleotides) under Triticum aestivum (bread wheat). RNAcentral describes it as "long non-coding RNA (TAES_LNC001507)". Lineage: Eukaryota; Viridiplantae; Streptophyta; Magnoliopsida; Poales; Poaceae. The record is from RNAcentral.